This 252-nucleotide long non-coding RNA is filed under the name Lathyrus oleraceus (garden pea). Its description in RNAcentral is "Pisum sativum (pea) long non-coding RNA (PSAT_LNC042150)". The record is from RNAcentral. Lineage: Eukaryota; Viridiplantae; Streptophyta; Magnoliopsida; Fabales; Fabaceae.
AGGCUGGUACGCGUACUGCCCAGUCCCAUACGCGUAUCACCAGAGGCUUGCUAUUUUGCUUGAUUUUCCAUCCCUCUGGUCAUAUACGUAUGCUACGCGUACUGGGCAGGUCCAUACGCGUAUCAUGUAAGGCCAUACGCGUAUGGACAGCAGGUUCUCCAAAAUUUGAUUUUUUUCUUCCGUUUUCUUGCUCGGGCUCAAUUUCGCAUCUGACGUUUGAUUCCCUGAGCUUCCAAACUAGUUUUUUACCUG